Molecule: ribosomal RNA, 700 nt
Filed under: uncultured bacterium
Lineage: Bacteria
Description: bacterial SSU rRNA
Rfam family: Bacterial small subunit ribosomal RNA
Source: RNAcentral
AACGGACGAGAAGCUUGCUUCUCCGAUGUUAGCGGCGGACGUUUGAGUAACACGUGGAUAACCUACCUAUAAGACUGGGAUCACUUCGGGAAACCGGAGCUAAUACCGGAUAAUAUUUUGAACCGCAUGGUUCAAAAGUAAAAGACGGUCUUGCUGUCACUUAUAGAUGGAUCCGCGCUGCAUUAGCUAGUUGGUAAGGUAACGGCUCACCAAGGCAACGAUACAUAGCCGACCUGAGAGGGUGAUCGGCCACACUGGGACUGAGACACGGCCCAGACUCCUACGGGAGGCAGCAGUAGGGAAUCUUCGGCAAUGGACGGAAGUCUGACCGAGCAACGCCGCGUGAGUGAAGAAGGUUUUCGGAUCGUAAAGCUCUGUUGUAAGAGAAGAACGAGUGUGAGAGUGGAAAGUUCACACUGUGACGGUAUCUUACCAGAAAGGGACGGCUAACUACGUGCCAGCAGCCGCGGUAAUACGUAGGUCCCGAGCGUUGUCCGGAUUUAUUGGGCGUAAAGCGAGCGCAGGCGGUUAGAUAAGUCUGAAGUUAAAGGCUGUGGCUUAACCAUAGUACGCUUUGGAAACUGUUUAACUUGAGUGCAAGAGGGGAGAGUGGAAUUCCAUGUGUAGCGGUGAAAUGCGUAGAUAUAUGGAGGAACACCGGUGGCGAAAGCGGCUCUCUGGCUUGUAACUGACGCUGAGG